UGGGGCGUAGCCAAGCGGUAAGGCAGUGGGUUUUGGUCCCAUGAUCCCAGGUUCGAAUCCUGGCGCCCCAGCCA
RNAcentral lists this transfer RNA (74 nucleotides) under Pseudomonadota bacterium. Its description in RNAcentral is "tRNA-Gln". It matches the Rfam family "tRNA". Rfam says of the family: Transfer RNA (tRNA) molecules are approximately 80 nucleotides in length. Their secondary structure includes four short double-helical elements and three loops (D, anti-codon, and T loops). Further hydrogen bonds mediate the characteristic L-shaped molecular structure. tRNAs have two regions of fundamental functional importance: the anti-codon, which is responsible for specific mRNA codon recognition, and the 3' end, to which the tRNAs corresponding amino acid is attached (by aminoacyl-tRNA synthetases). tRNAs cope with the degeneracy of the genetic code in two manners: having more than one tRNA (with a specific anti-codon) for a particular amino acid; and 'wobble' base-pairing, i.e. permitting non-standard base-pairing at the 3rd anti-codon position. RNAcentral also lists the same sequence under 1 other name. Lineage: Bacteria; Pseudomonadati; Pseudomonadota. The record is from RNAcentral.